Molecule: long non-coding RNA, 993 nt
Organism: Panicum virgatum (switchgrass)
Lineage: Eukaryota; Viridiplantae; Streptophyta; Magnoliopsida; Poales; Poaceae
Exons: 2
Source: RefSeq, a predicted model, not a curated record
CCACUGUCAGAUAUUCUCCCCCAAGCCCCGUCGGCUGCGCCCCAGGCGAAAUACACGGCGCCGCACCGUCGCGCCCUCGGCCGGCCUCCGUCGGGCGCCUCCGUCGUGCGUGGCCCCGGCCUCUAUGUCGUCGUGGCCGCCGCAACCUCCCCACCGGACACUCCAUCCACACCGACGCCUCCCUCAACCCUCACCGCCGCCGUAUUUGUUGGUCACUGCCCCGACCCAGUAGGUCGAGCCGGCGACGUCGAUGACUCCGAGCUCCACAACAGCGUCUCCGUGCUGCCCGCCGCCAGUUAACGCGCUCGGCUGUUGCUCCCAGCGUCGCGUGCUCCCGGCGCCUCUGUGCUCCCGUGUCAGCUGCUGCUCCUGCUUGGCCUCCGUGCUCCCGGCGCCGCAUCGGCAAGAACGCCGUGCUGUUCGGGAGGAAGCUGUGUUGUUUGGGAAGAAGCAGCAGCAGCAUGACGAGAAGAAGCCGGAGCUGCUGGAGCUCGAUUUGCCCCCCACGGCCGUCCCCUCCUUCGAUUACAACUUCACUACAACUGAAAAUUAGUUAAAGAUGUGUCAAGGUUUGGAACUAGAGUUCGUCGACGGUGGGAUGAAGAGGACGAAUCUGAUGUUGAUGACCUUUUGAUCAUUGCCGGUCUUCUUGAGGGCUCGAAGAGAAACAAGCGCAAGAAAAAAUUUCAUGGAUCGUUGCCGGUCCUCUUGAUCAUGCUUAUUCAGUUAACUGAAACUGAUGAGAGCACUGCCAAACAAGUUUUUUGCUCAUUCAGUUGUUUUCCAUGCAGUGUACUUCUAGUUGUAAAGAGUUGUGGUGAUAUGAGAGAUUUCAGUUAUCAACUAGUCAGAUUUGUAUGUCGAAACAUGAUGGCCAUCAGUUCAGUUUCCUACUUGGUCUGUGUCCUGGGUUAUGUUGUUUAUCUGCCUGUAAAAUAGAUGGUUGAGACUCUUCUCUUAAUCUCAAUAUCUGACCAAUAUGUUCAUAUAUCA